GUCCAGGGGCGGGAAUCGAACCCACGCCCUUCUGCUUACCGGGCAGGUGCCAUGUCCACUCGGCUACCCUGGA
This 73-nucleotide transfer RNA is filed under the name Cordylochernes scorpioides. RNAcentral's name for it is "tRNA-Thr". The record is from RNAcentral. Lineage: Eukaryota; Metazoa; Arthropoda; Arachnida; Pseudoscorpiones; Chernetidae.